This 253-nucleotide ribosomal RNA is filed under the name uncultured bacterium. RNAcentral describes it as "partial 16S ribosomal RNA". It matches the Rfam family "Bacterial small subunit ribosomal RNA", at positions 524 to 776 of the family's 1533-position model. The record is from RNAcentral.
UACAGAGGUCCCAAGCGUUGUUCGGAUUUACUGGGCGUAAAGGGUGCGUAGGCGGUUGGGUAAGUCUGACGUGAAAUCUCCGAGCCUAACCCGGAAACUGCGUUGGAUACUACCUGACUAGAGGAAUGGAGGGGAGACUGGAAUACUUGGUGUAGCAGUGAAAUGCGUAGAUAUCAAGUGGAACACCAGUGGCGAAGGCGAGUCUCUGGACAUUUCCUGACGCUGAGGCACGAAAGCCAGGGGAGCAAACGGG